This is a long non-coding RNA of Mirounga angustirostris (Northern elephant seal), 670 nucleotides long. RefSeq lists it as uncharacterized. The record is from RefSeq and is a predicted model, not a curated record. Lineage: Eukaryota; Metazoa; Chordata; Mammalia; Carnivora; Phocidae. The transcript is spliced from 3 exons.
CUUAGGUGAAAAGCUCUCGGAUUUUCCCCAUUGAGGAUGAUAUUUGCUGUGAGUUUUUCAUGGAUGGCUUUUAUGAUAUUGAGUGUAUCACAUUGAUUUGUGGAUGUUGAACCACCCUUGCAGCCCAGGAAUAAAUCCCACUUGGUCGUGGUGAAUAAUCCUUUUAAUGGACUGUUGGAUCCUCUUGGCUACUAUUUUGGGAGAGACACAGCAAGAGAAGGAACACAAGCAGGGGGAGUGGGAGAGGGAGAAGCAGGCUUCCCACUGAGCAGGGAGCCCGAUGUGGGACUCCAUCCCAGGACCCUGGAUCAUGACCUAAGCUGGAGGUAGAUGCUUAACGACUGAGCCACCCAGGCGCCCCUGAUUACUGCUUCAGUUUUCUUGCUGGUUAUCAGUCUGUUCAGGUUUUCUAUUUCUUCCUGUUUCAGUUUUGUUUUAUACAUCUCUAGGAAUGCGUCCAUUUCUUCCAGAUUGCCUAAUUUGUUGGCAUAUAGUUACUCAUAAUAUGCUCUUAUAAUUGUUUGUAUUUCUUUGGUGUUGGUUGUGACCUCUCCUCUUUCAUUCAUGAUUUUAUUUAUUUGGGUCCUUUCUCUUUCUUUUUGAAAAAAGAUUAAAAAAAAUUAAUGUUUAAAGACUAAAGAAUCAUGGGGAAAAUCCAUGAAUUCUAUGU